RNAcentral lists this ribosomal RNA (731 nucleotides) under Bacillaceae bacterium CVD090B. RNAcentral's name for it is "bacterial SSU rRNA". It matches the Rfam family "Bacterial small subunit ribosomal RNA", at positions 339 to 1061 of the family's 1533-position model. Lineage: Bacteria; Bacillati; Bacillota; Bacilli; Caryophanales; Bacillaceae. The record is from RNAcentral.
AUACGAGAGGCAGCAGUCGCGAAUCUUCCUCAAUCGACCAAAGUCGCACGCCGCAUCGCCGCGUGAUUGAUGAAGUGUUUCGGAUGGUAAAGCUCUGUUGUUAGGGAAGAACAAGUACCGUUCGAAUACCCCGGUACCUUGCUCCCACCCAACCCGAAAGCCACGGCUAACCGGCUUUCAGCAGCCAGCGGUAAUACGUAGGGCGCAAGCGUUAUCCGGAAUUAUUGGGCAUCCCGCGCCCCUAGGCCGUUUUUUUUGUCUGGGGUGAAAGCCCAGGGAUCAACCCCUGAGCGUCAUUGGAAGUUGUGAAACUUGAGUACAGAAGAUGAACGUGGAAUUCCAUUUGUCGCUGGUAAUUGCGCAGAGAUACAGAGGAACACCAGUGCGAAGGGGACUUCCUGGUCUUUAACUGACGCUGAUGUGCGAAAGCGUGGGGAUCAAACAGGAUUUGAAACAGUGGUAGUCCCCUCCGUAAAAAAAAAGCGCUAAGCGUUCGGGGGCCUCCGCCCAUUCGGGCUGCAGCUAACGCAUUAAGCACUCCCCGUGGGGAGUUCGGUCGCAAGACUGAAGCUCAAAGGAAUGGGCGGGGGCCCGCACAACCGGUGGAGCAUGUGGUUUGAUUUUACCCAACAACAAGGUCCUAAGAUCCUAAAGACUUCAUCAGACAUUCGUAGAGAUAGGAUGUCCCUUUCGGGCGCAGAGGAACAUGUGGUGCAUGGCGUCGUCAGCUC